UACGUAGGGGGCAAGCGUUGUCCGGAUUUAUUGGGCGUAAAGAGCGUGUAGGCGGCCAGACAGGUCCGUUGUGAAAACUCGAGGCUCAACCUCGAGACGUCGAUGGAAACCGUCUGGCUAGAGUCCGGAAGAGGAGUGUGGAAUUCCUGGUGUAGCGGUGAAAAUGGCGCAGAGUAUCAGGAAGAACACCUAUGGCGAAGGCAGCUCUCUGGGGACGGUGACUGGACGCUGAGACGCGAAAGCGUGGGGAGCGAACAGG
RNAcentral lists this ribosomal RNA (259 nucleotides) under uncultured bacterium. Its description in RNAcentral is "partial 16S ribosomal RNA". It matches the Rfam family "Bacterial small subunit ribosomal RNA", at positions 524 to 776 of the family's 1533-position model. The record is from RNAcentral.